Molecule: long non-coding RNA, 1087 nt
Filed under: Homo sapiens (human)
Lineage: Eukaryota; Metazoa; Chordata; Mammalia; Primates; Hominidae
Description: PREDICTED lncRNA (TCONS_00060974)
Source: RNAcentral
GCGGCCGCCCAGCGCCCGUCCCCGCGCCGCACUCCCCGGCACUCCCCGGCGCUCCCCGCGCCGCGCGCCCCGCACCGGCUGGAGGCCCCGGCCCCCCGGCGUUCCCUCUCCGCGCACCUCCCGGCCCGCGCUAGGUAGCAGGCAAGAGUGUGGUUAUCGUUGGACCAGGAUUCAGGAUCUGACUGAGUAGCUGACUCUUAAUCCAGUUUGUGUUGAUCACCAGGAGGAUCUGGACCUCAGUAUUACCACAUCUAGAGCUAUAAUCACAUCCCUGUUAAGCCUUCCUGAGAUCACACCAAAUGUCCUUGAUGGGAAUUGUAAACAACCCUUACUUCUGGUUUCUAAUGAUAUUCCAGGAAAGGAGCCUAACUAGAGUCAGUGAUAUGCCAACUCCACCUUUGCCUUCCACCAUGUUUGGAAGCUCCCUGAGGCCUCACCAGGAGCAGAUGCUCGUCCCAUGCUUCCUAUAAGCCUGCAGAACUGGAAAAGAAAGCUGGAUAAAGUAUUUAUAGAAGAUAGAGGACCUGUGGUGGCUCAUGCCUGUAAUCCAAGGUGGAAGGAUUGCUUGAGGCCAGAAGUUCAAGACCAGUCCAAGCAACAUAGCAAGGCCCCAUCUCUACAAAAAAUGAAAAUAAAAUUAGCCGAGCGUGAUGGCUCAUGCCUGUAGUUCUAGCUUCUAGAGAGGCUGAGGCAGGAGGAUUGCUUGAGUCCAGGAGUUCAAGAUUACAGUGAGCUAUGGUCACACCACUGCACUCCAGCCUGGGUGAUGGAGUGAGACUGUCUCAAUAAAAAGACAAAAAGGUAAGCCCUUAGGUAAAGUAAGCUUGCUUCUUUGUUAGAGCUAUCCAUGCUGAGUCCAGGCAAAGAAAAUGCUUUCUUUGGCCUGGUGCGGUGGCUCAUGCCUGUAAUCCCAACACUUUUGGAGGCCAAGGUGGGCAGAUCACAAGGUCAAGAGUUCAAGAUGAGCCUGACCAACAUGGUGAAGCCCCAUCUCUACUAAAAAUACAAAAAUUAGCCAGGUGUGGUGGUGCGCACCUGUAAUCCCAGCUAUUCAGGAGGCUGAGGCAAGAGAAUCACUUGAACCCAG